This 303-nucleotide ribosomal RNA is filed under the name uncultured bacterium. Its description in RNAcentral is "partial 16S ribosomal RNA". It matches the Rfam family "Bacterial small subunit ribosomal RNA", at positions 507 to 807 of the family's 1533-position model. The record is from RNAcentral.
AGCAGUAGCCGCGGUAAUACGUAGGUGGCAAGCGUUGUCCGGAAUUAUUGGGCGUAAAGCGUGCGCAGGCGGUUGUGUAAGACAGGUGUGAAAUCCCCGGGCUUAACCUGGGAACUGCGCUCGUGACUGCACAGCUAGAGUAUGGCAGAGGGGGGUGGAAUUCCACGUGAAGCAGUGAAAUGCGUAGAGAUGUGGAGGAACACCGAUGGCGAAGGCAGCCCCCUGGGCCAAUACUGACGCUCAUGCACGAAAGCGUGGGGAGCAAACAGGAUUAGAUACCCCCGUAGUCCCUGUCUCUUAUAC